This 1230-nucleotide ribosomal RNA is filed under the name Escherichia coli. RNAcentral's name for it is "partial 23S ribosomal RNA". It matches the Rfam family "Bacterial large subunit ribosomal RNA", at positions 954 to 2167 of the family's 2925-position model. Lineage: Bacteria; Pseudomonadati; Pseudomonadota; Gammaproteobacteria; Enterobacterales; Enterobacteriaceae. The record is from RNAcentral.
CUGCGAAUACCGGAGAAUGUUAUCACGGGAGACACACGGCGGGUGCUAACGUCCGUCGUGAAGAGGGAAACAACCCAGACCGCCAGCUAAGGUCCCAAAGUCAUGGUUAAGUGGGAAACGAUGUGGGAAGGCCCAGACAGCCAGGAUGUUGGCUUAGAAGCAGCCAUCAUUUAAAGAAAGCGUAAUAGCUCACUGGUCGAGUCGGCCUGCGCGGAAGAUGUAACGGGGCUAAACCAUGCACCGAAGCUGCGGCAGCGACGCUGAUGCGUUGUUGGGUAGGGGAGCGUUCUGUAAGCCUGUGAAGGUGUGCUGUGAGGCAUGCUGGAGGUAUCAGAAGUGCGAAUGCUGACAUAAGUAACGAUAAAGCGGGUGAAAAGCCCGCUCGCCGGAAGACCAAGGGUUCCUGUCCAACGUUAAUCGGGGCAGGGUGAGUCGACCCCUAAGGCGAGGCCGAAAGGCGUAGUCGAUGGGAAACAGGUUAAUAUUCCUGUACUUGGUGUUACUGCGAAGGGGGGACGGAGAAGGCUAUGUUGGCCGGGCGACGGUUGUCCCGGUUUAAGCGUGUAGGCUGGUUUUCCAGGCAAAUCCGGAAAAUCAAGGCUGAGGCGUGAUGACGAGGCACUACGGUGCUGAAGCAACAAAUGCCCUGCUUCCAGGAAAAGCCUCUAAGCAUCAGGUAACAUCAAAUCGUACCCCAAACCGACACAGGUGGUCAGGUAGAGAAUACCAAGGCGCUUGAGAGAACUCGGGUGAAGGAACUAGGCAAAAUGGUGCCGUAACUUCGGGAGAAGGCACGCUGAUAUGUAGGUGAAGUCCCUCGCGGAUGGAGCUGAAAUCAGUCGAAGAUACCAGCUGGCUGCAACUGUUUAUUAAAAACACAGCACUGUGCAAACACGAAAGUGGACGUAUACGGUGUGACGCCUGCCCGGUGCCGGAAGGUUAAUUGAUGGGGUCAGCGCAAGCGAAGCUCUUGAUCGAAGCCCCGGUAAACGGCGGCCGUAACUAUAACGGUCCUAAGGUAGCGAAAUUCCUUGUCGGGUAAGUUCCGACCUGCACGAAUGGCGUAAUGAUGGCCAGGCUGUCUCCACCCGAGACUCAGUGAAAUUGAACUCGCUGUGAAGAUGCAGUGUACCCGCGGCAAGACGGAAAGACCCCGUGAACCUUUACUAUAGCUUGACACUGAACAUUGAGCCUUGAUGUGUAGGAUAGGUGGGAGGCUUUGAAGUGUGG